GAUGAACGCUGGCGGCGUGGAUAAUACAUGCAAGUCGAACGAAGCUGUUUUAACUGGUGCUUGCACCGACUUAAACAACCGAGUGGCGAACGGGUGAGUAACACGUGGGUAACCUGCCCCAAAGCGGGGGAUAACAUUUGGAAACAGAUGCUAAUACCGCAUAACCACAGAAACCACAUGGUUUCUGUGUCAAAGAUGGUUUCGGCUAUCACUUUGGGAUGGACCCGCGGCGUAUUAGCUAGUUGGUAAGGUAAUGGCUUACCAAGGCAAUGAUACGUAGCCGAACUGAGAGGUUGAGCGGCCAGAUUGGGACUGAGACACGGCCCAAACUCCUACGGGAGGCAGCAGUAGGGAAUCUUCCACAAUGGACGAAAAUCUGAUGGAGCAACGCCGCGUGAGUGAAGAAGGUUUUCGGAUCGUAAAACUCUGUUGUCAGAGAAGAACGUGUGCGAGAGUAACUGUUCGUGCAGUGACGGUAUCUGGCCAGAAAGCCACAGCUAACUACGUGCCAGCAGCCGCCGUAA
Molecule: ribosomal RNA, 524 nt
Filed under: uncultured bacterium
Lineage: Bacteria
Description: partial 16S ribosomal RNA
Rfam family: Bacterial small subunit ribosomal RNA
Source: RNAcentral